AUGGCUAAGGAUUUUGAAAGUGGUAUUCAAGCUAAGUACCAAGCUUAUGUCACCCAGCAGGAUAAGCAGUUGCAAUUCCAUACUACUCAGAACAAAACUCCUACUACUACAGCUAGAAAUACCUCAGUUCCACCAGCAGCACCUGCAACUAGGAAACCUGGUGUCUGCUGGAGAUGUAAUGGGCCAUGGGUCCCAGGGCACAAAUGCAAGCAAUCUCCAAGCAUUCAUGCUAUUGCUAGUGAAAAUGAAAGUGAAGAAAUGUCCCAAGAGGAAGAAGCACAACUAGCAGUUCUAGCUGCUGAAGGGCAAUUUUUUGAUAGUUCUGACAAAUGCAUGCAAAUAUCUGCACAAGCAGUUUCAGGCAACACUUCUGAAGGAACACUAGCUGUCCAGAUCAUGAUUGGGAACAAACAAGGAGUGGCACUAAUUGACACAGGAAGUACAAACACUUUCAUUGACAUGAAAUUUGCUCUUAAGGUCAAUUGUCCCCUCUUGAACACACCCACAAAAAGAGUAAAAGUUGCUGGAGGAGGAUCAUUGAAUUCUGGAGCAAUUGCACCAAAUGCAAGUUUCAGAAUAGGGAAUGAAACAUUUUCCAAUGACCUAACAGUGCUUGAUCUGCAAGGGUAUGAUGUAGUCCUGGGUUGUGAUAUGCUCAAAAAGCACAGCCCCAUAUCUCUGGAUUUUGAAGCAAGAACUGUCACUCUCAAUAAGGACAAAACCAAGCUGGUCACAUUUGUAGACUGCACUGCUAGUGAACCUCCUAAACUAAAUUCAUAA
Molecule: ribosomal RNA, 780 nt
Filed under: Triticum aestivum (bread wheat)
Lineage: Eukaryota; Viridiplantae; Streptophyta; Magnoliopsida; Poales; Poaceae
Description: partial small subunit ribosomal RNA
Source: RNAcentral